AUGUUGUGGCCACUGAGUGUGACAAAGGAAGAGUUGCCGAAAGUGUUACACAUUGACACAACAUCUUCAUUAGCAACAGCUUACGGAGGGGAGGUACCAGUUGUGCAUCCACAUACUGAUCUAUCCUUCCACCGGGAGAAAGGAGAAAUGUUUCUUUUGAAGCACCAGAAAGAAGAAAUGUUCAAGGGUGGAUGGUGGAUUUGUCUCACAGAUGCAAGGCUCCUUAGGUCCCUCUCACCUGUAGAAAGUUUUUUAGAAGCCUCAGUCAUACAUAUUGAUAUCUGUACUGCACCUGAUGUUGGCGGCAGCAACAUCCAGAGAACAAGGAGUGACAAACUAGAGCAAGUCCAACAGCAUAUAAGUACCUUAAUGCACUCGAAGUACAGAGAUGCCUUCAGGGAUGCCCCAGUUGCAGCAGUGAUGAUGCGGGACUGCCCCGUGCUAGAGAAAUGGUGGCAUGCCAACUAUACAUGUUUAAUAAAGGUGAUGAUGCCCGGCCAGGGCAACAGACUCUUGGAGGAUGCUGGAGGUGCUAGUACCAGUGCUUUAUUAUUGCCUAAGUUUAUGUGUGACUUGGUUACAUCGCCGCACGUGUAUGAUAACUUGUCCAUCACUAAUAUCCCUGGACCUCCGCAUGGAUCAGGAUGGGAUAGACUAAGAUGGUGCCGCGUGGAGAGAUGCCCCAGGUUACACACAGUCUUCACUGUUCCCUAUGGCACUAGUCUGCACAGCUUCGUUUGGCUGCAGACAUUAUGGGCAUCCAAGCUCCUCUCUGCACUAUAA
This 783-nucleotide ribosomal RNA is filed under the name Triticum aestivum (bread wheat). Its description in RNAcentral is "partial small subunit ribosomal RNA". The record is from RNAcentral. Lineage: Eukaryota; Viridiplantae; Streptophyta; Magnoliopsida; Poales; Poaceae.